UGUGAGCUCAUGUAGCACAAAUCCGUUAUUACUUUAAAUGAGGUUCACCGUUUGAUGAUAUAUUUUUGUUAAUGGUGUCAAUAAAUCGUAAGUUUGAUUUCCUAAAAUUUGACCAUUAGUUUAGAUAUCACGAAAAAAAAUUAUAUGAGUUAUUUGAUUUUCUAAAAAUCGACCAUUAUUUUUUAUCAUGCGUUUUUUGUUACUCUAUUCAUCAUAAUUUUUAUUUAUGUUGUAAACAAAAAUAAGUAAAUUUUUAAAGGUUUGCCCCCGUGCUUGGCACGGGUAUCAUACUAGUUAUAAAAAAAUACGAGGAAAAGAAUAAUGUGCCCCCUUCUCUCUCUUUCAAUUGUUUCCGGCAAAGCGCUCUCCAUAUUCCGCCGCCAUGGUUCUUUGGAGUUGCUACUACACAAAGCUCUUGCUCCGUGAUCGAUUGUCGUGUUGGUGUGCCGAUGUUCCUGUUUGUUCCUCUAAGAACAUUAACAAGACUUGCAAAGUCAGUCGGAUCUGGGAUUGAACUUCACCAAUAUCCAAGCUUUCACCGACCCAUUAUUUCUGGGACUCGGUCUAGGAGUCACAACUAUGAGUUUACGUUAUGGUCUUUGUGGAGUUAUGGUGGUCUUCAAGCUUGGAUGACUAGUGAUGUGGUUAAUCUACAGAACUUUGAUGUUAGAAUUUUAAAUUACUAAAUUAAAU
RNAcentral lists this long non-coding RNA (693 nucleotides) under Trifolium pratense (red clover). Its description in RNAcentral is "long non-coding RNA (TPRA_LNC004584)". The record is from RNAcentral. Lineage: Eukaryota; Viridiplantae; Streptophyta; Magnoliopsida; Fabales; Fabaceae.